AUUGAACGCUGGCGGCAGGCCUAACACAUGCAAGUCGAACGAGUGGCGGGCGGGUGAGUAAUGUCUGGGAAACUGCCCGAUGGAGGGGGAUAACUACUGGAAACGGUAGCUAAUACCGCAUACCAUCGGAUGUGCCCAGAUGGGUUUAGCUAGUAGGUGGGGUAACGGCUCACCUAGGCGACGAUCCCUAGCUGGUCUGAGAGGAUGACCAGCCACACGGGAACUGAGACACGGCCCAGACUCCUACGGGAGGCAGCAGUGGGGAAUAUUGCACAAUGGGCGAAAGUCUGAUGGAGCAACGCCGCGUGUAUGAAGAAGGCUUUCGGAUUGUAAAGCACUGUUAGCAGAGAGGCGUUAUCUGAACAGAAAGCCCCGGCUAACUCCGUGCCAGCAGCCGCGGUAAUAC
RNAcentral lists this ribosomal RNA (406 nucleotides) under uncultured bacterium. RNAcentral's name for it is "partial 16S ribosomal RNA". It matches the Rfam family "Bacterial small subunit ribosomal RNA", at positions 30 to 526 of the family's 1533-position model. The record is from RNAcentral.